AAGACUAUACUUUCAGGGGUCAUUUCUAUAGUUUGUUAAAAUAAUAAAAUAUGCAAUAUUUUUCAUUUUGAAUUCCACACAGCCACACAGAAUGCCUUCACUGGU
RNAcentral lists this small nucleolar RNA (105 nucleotides) under Zalophus californianus (California sea lion). Its description in RNAcentral is "Small nucleolar RNA U3 (ENSZCAG00015010841.1)". RNAcentral also lists the same sequence under 1 other name. The record is from RNAcentral. Lineage: Eukaryota; Metazoa; Chordata; Mammalia; Carnivora; Otariidae.